AAAUUGAAGAGUUUGAUCAUGGCUCAGAUUGAACGCUGGCGGCAGGCCUAACACAUGCAAGUCGAACGGUAGCACAGAGAGCUUGCUCUCGGGUGACGAGUGGCGGACGGGUGAGUAAUGUCUGGGAAACUGCCUGAUGGAGGGGGAUAACUACUGGAAACGGUGGCUAAUACCGCAUAACGUCGCAAGACCAAAGAGGGGGAC
Molecule: ribosomal RNA, 204 nt
Filed under: Salmonella enterica subsp. enterica serovar Infantis
Lineage: Bacteria; Pseudomonadati; Pseudomonadota; Gammaproteobacteria; Enterobacterales; Enterobacteriaceae
Also listed under: 10 other names
Description: partial 16S ribosomal RNA
Rfam family: Bacterial small subunit ribosomal RNA
Source: RNAcentral